This 465-nucleotide ribosomal RNA is filed under the name uncultured bacterium. RNAcentral describes it as "partial 16S ribosomal RNA". It matches the Rfam family "Bacterial small subunit ribosomal RNA", at positions 28 to 507 of the family's 1533-position model. The record is from RNAcentral.
GACGAACGCUGGCGGCGUGCUUAACACAUGCAAGUCGAACGGAAAAGCCCUGCUUGCAGGGUACUCGAGUGGCGAACGGGUGAGUAACACGUGGGAGAUCUGCCCUGCACUUCGGGAUACGCUUGGGAAACUGGGUCUAAAACCGGAUAGGCCCCAUCUUGAGAGUGGGGGUUGGACAGAUUUUUCGGUGUCGGAUGAGCUCGCGGCCUAUCAGCUAGUUGGUGGGGUAAUGGCCUACCAAGGCGGCGACGGGUAGCCGGCCUGAGAGGGUGAACGGCCACAUUGGGACUUAGAUACGGCCCAGACUCCGACGGGUGGCAGCAGUGGGGAAUAUUGCACCAGGGGCGCCAGCCUGAUGCAGCGACGCCUCGGGGGGGAUGAAGGCCUUCGGGUUGUAAACUCCUUUCGCUAGGGACGAAGCUUUUUGUGACGGUACCUAGAGAAGAAGCACCGGCUAACUACGUG